GGCGUGGCCGAGUGGUUGAAGGCACCGGACUGAAAAUCCGGCGAACCGCACUGCGGUUCCGAGGGUUCGAAUCCCUCCGCCA
This 82-nucleotide transfer RNA is filed under the name Deltaproteobacteria bacterium. RNAcentral's name for it is "tRNA-Phe". It matches the Rfam family "tRNA". From Rfam's summary of the family: Transfer RNA (tRNA) molecules are approximately 80 nucleotides in length. Their secondary structure includes four short double-helical elements and three loops (D, anti-codon, and T loops). The record is from RNAcentral. Lineage: Bacteria; Pseudomonadati; Myxococcota; Myxococcia.